RNAcentral lists this long non-coding RNA (1027 nucleotides) under Numida meleagris (helmeted guineafowl). Its description in RNAcentral is "lncRNA (ENSNMEG00000007306.1)". Lineage: Eukaryota; Metazoa; Chordata; Aves; Galliformes; Numididae. The record is from RNAcentral.
UUUCCUGUGCUUUUCUGUAGGGCACAUGCCUCAAAAAGAAUUAUCUUCACAUUGGAGAAACUGAAGUCUUCCUGAUGCCCUUUAUUUUACAUUCAGAGAGCUGGCCCAUGACAAAUUUAAGUUCAAGACCGUCUACUAAUUGACCAAGCCACCCUUGAAACUCCUAGGGAAGGGUUCAGCUCACUGGCAGAGAUAUCCAUCAGCAGGGCUGUCUGCACUUGAGCUCCCUGUCUUGAAAUACUGCACUGCCACUCCUGUCUGUAGAUGUCUCAUGCAUGCCAAGGAAUUGUGAGACAGACGUGAUGAGACAGACACAAAACUGUUCCUUUUCCUCCACUGAUUAUAGGUAGAGUGUAAGUAGCAUUACACAGCACAGAUAUAUUCAGGCAUGUUUCUGCUGGCUUCAUUUGCAUUUGUGUGUGCUUAACAUUUUGGACCUCUGAUUACUAAGCUGAGCAUGCAGGAAAAGAAAAAGGCACAAGUGAUUAAUUAACUGGAGUGACAAGUUUGGUUUUAUUAAGUUGACGUUGCAUGGAAAAUCUGCCGCAGCAGCAAGGGUAGAUUCAGUUCUUCAAAGCAGCACUCAACAGCCUGAACUAUGAGACCGGCUUUUCUCUCCCUGCUGCCAGGCAGUGCAAAGGGUUUAAUGUACAUUUCAUAGCAAAACAGGGCCAGUCAUUGAAGCUGUACACCAACCUCCAGCCUGUGUCUGGGUUACUGUUUCUGAUCAAUGUUAAUUAAACGCAGAAAUAAAUGCAGAAAGGAGGGGUGAAUCUUCAGGUGCUGACUGGGAUACCAUCCCUGCAGAGGUGGGAUGUACGGCUCUGGUUGGGCGAGCAUGCCUCUCAUCGUGAACUUUGGCUCAGAGAAACCAGGACUUACCUUGGCAGUGUCCAAUCUCAAGGUGCUACUCUGAAGAGGGGGAGUAAUGGGUAACGUUAGUGUGAUGUGGCUUGAGGCAUCUAACAAAAAUAUCCUAGGGCUUCCUUUUUAUGUUUUGGAGGUGAUAGAGGAAUUUGAAUUACAG